UCCCGCAUAGCUCAACGGCAGAGCGCCGGAUUGUUAAUCCGGAUGUUAUUGGUUCGAAUCCAGUUGCGGGAGC
Molecule: transfer RNA, 73 nt
Filed under: Streptomyces phage RickRoss
Lineage: Varidnaviria; Bamfordvirae; Preplasmiviricota; Tectiliviricetes; Kalamavirales; Tectiviridae
Description: tRNA-Asn
Rfam family: tRNA
About the family: Transfer RNA (tRNA) molecules are approximately 80 nucleotides in length.
Source: RNAcentral